UGGGGGAUAUUGCACAAUGGGCGAAAGCCUGAUGCAGCGACGCCGCGUGGGGGAUGAAGGCUUUCGGGUUGUAAACCUCUUUCGCUAUCGAACAAGGCCCGCUUAGGGUGGGUUGAGGGUAGGUGGAGAAGAAGCGCCCGCUAACUACGUGCCAGCAGCCGCGGUAAUACGUAGGGCGCGAGCGUUGUCCGGAAUUAUUGGGCGUAAAGGGCUUGUAGGCGGCUUGUUGCGCCUGCUGUGAAAACGCGGGGCUUAACUUCGCGCGUGCAGUGGGUACGGGCAGGCUUGAGUGUGGUAGGGGUGACUGGAAUUCCAGGUGUAGCGGUGGAAUGCGCAGAUAUCUGGAGGAACACCGAUGGCGAAGGCAGGUCACUGGGCCAUUACUGACGCUGAGGAGCGAAAGCAUGGGUAGCGAACAGG
This 420-nucleotide ribosomal RNA is filed under the name bacterium. RNAcentral describes it as "partial 16S ribosomal RNA". It matches the Rfam family "Bacterial small subunit ribosomal RNA", at positions 355 to 776 of the family's 1533-position model. The record is from RNAcentral.